Molecule: ribosomal RNA, 451 nt
Filed under: uncultured bacterium
Lineage: Bacteria
Description: partial 16S ribosomal RNA
Rfam family: Bacterial small subunit ribosomal RNA
Source: RNAcentral
UGGGGAAUUUUGGACGAAUUGGGCGAAAGCCUGAUCCAGCAAUGCCGCGUGUGUGAAGAAGGCCUUCGGGUUGUAAAGCACUUUUGUCCGGAAAGAAAUCCUUGGCUCUAAUACAGUCGGGGGAUGACGGUACCGGAAGAAUAAGCACCGGCUAGCUACGUGCCAGCAGCCGCGGUAAUACGUAGGGUGCAAGCGUUAAUCGGAAUUACUGGGCGUAAAGCGUGCGCAGGCGGUUUGCUAAGACCGAUGUGAAAUCCCCGGGCUCAACCUGGGAACUGCAUUGGUGACUGGCAGGCUAGAGUAUGGCAGAGGGGGGUAGAAUUCCACGUGUAGCAGUGAAAUGCGUAGAGAUGUGGAGGAAUACCGAUGGCGAAGGCAGCCCCCUGGCAAGUACUGACGCUCAUGCACGAAAGCGUGGGGAGCAAACNGAUUAAUNCCCUGGUAGUCCACG